AUCCAGGAGCGGGAAUCGAACCCACAACCUUCUGCUUACCGGGCAGGUGCCAUGCCCACUAGGCUAUCCUGGA
This 73-nucleotide transfer RNA is filed under the name Cordylochernes scorpioides. RNAcentral describes it as "tRNA-Thr". Lineage: Eukaryota; Metazoa; Arthropoda; Arachnida; Pseudoscorpiones; Chernetidae. The record is from RNAcentral.